This 465-nucleotide ribosomal RNA is filed under the name uncultured bacterium. Its description in RNAcentral is "partial 16S ribosomal RNA". It matches the Rfam family "Bacterial small subunit ribosomal RNA", at positions 28 to 507 of the family's 1533-position model. The record is from RNAcentral.
GACGAACGCUGGCGGCGUGCUUAACACAUGCAAGUCGAACGGAAAGGCCCCUUUGGGGGUCCUCGAGUGGCGAACGGGUUAGUAACACGUGAGUAACCUGCCCUUGACUUCCGGAUAACUUCAGUAAACUGGGGCUAAUACCGGAUAGGAAUCCUUGCUGCAUGGUGGGGGUUGGAGAGCUUCGGCGGUUUUGGAUGGGCUUGCGGCCCAUCCGCUUGUUCGUGGGGUAGUGGCUUACCAAGGCUGUGACGGGUAGCCGGCCUGAGAGGGCGACCGGCCACAGUGAGACUGAGACACGGACCAGACUCCGACGGGAGGCAGAAGUGGGGGAGAGUGAAAAAUGGGCGGAAGCGUGAGGCAGAAACGCCGCGGGCGGGAUGACGACCUUCGGGUUGGAGUCCGCAUGCAGCAGGGGCGAAGCUGGUAGUGACAGUACCUGCAGAAGAAGCACCGGCUAACUACGUG